GCUUUGACGCCACCAACCCCCCUCUCCUCUUCAGCCUCGGGUGCCUCCCGUACCUCCCCUACCUUGGGCUCCGCCUCACCCAUUGUGAAAGUGGGUGUCCGCGAGGCUCAAAGCAAAAGAAAAAAAUGAACAUGCCAUCGAAGAAAAAAAAACAGAGAGAAAGGAAAGCACCUAAGGGAGGAGCGCGGACAGAAGGGUGUGGGCGGUCGUUGGUGCUUGCAUAGAGUUGUGGAUGCUC
Molecule: long non-coding RNA, 238 nt
Filed under: Elaeis guineensis (African oil palm)
Lineage: Eukaryota; Viridiplantae; Streptophyta; Magnoliopsida; Arecales; Arecaceae
Description: long non-coding RNA (EGUI_LNC029963)
Source: RNAcentral